UUUUGUGUUAUCCAUCUAGGAUAAUAUUUGUCUCUCACCGUUCACUUAGAGAGGAUGCCAAAGUCGCCUUGCAGCUCCCUUGUCAGAUUUGUGGUUCGUUUGCCGUUUGGGUGUUGGGUGAAGGCGUCUUUUUGAUACUAUUCAUUUGGGUUACCCAUAAAGAGUAACUUUUGGAGUAACUUUUGGAGACUUAGGGCUCUGUUUAUUUGGGUUACCCAUAAAAGAGUAACAUUUGGAGACUUAGGGCUCUGUUCAUUUGGGUUACUCAUAAAGGGUAACAUUUGGAGAUUUAGAGUUCUGUUCAUUUGGGUUACUCAUAAAGGAUAACAUUUGGAGACGUACGUAGCGCUCUGUUCAUUUGGGUUACUCAUAAAGAGUAACAUUUGGAUCUGUUCAUUUGGGUUACUCAUAAAGAGUAACAUCUUGAGACUUAGGGCUCUGUUCAUUUGGGUUAUUCACAAAGAGUAACAUUUAGAGACUUAGGGCUUUGUUCAUUUUGGGUUACUCAUAAAGGGUAACAUUUGGAGACUUAGGGCUCUAUUCAUUUG
RNAcentral lists this long non-coding RNA (548 nucleotides) under Manihot esculenta (cassava). Its description in RNAcentral is "long non-coding RNA (MESC_LNC008891)". The record is from RNAcentral. Lineage: Eukaryota; Viridiplantae; Streptophyta; Magnoliopsida; Malpighiales; Euphorbiaceae.